AACGGUCUAUACCUGCGGUACCUGCGGAAGGAUCAUUACUGAGUGAGGGCCCUCUGGGUCCAACCUCCCACCCGUGUUUAACGAACCUUGUUGCUUCGGCGGGCCCGCCUCACGGCCGCCGGGGGGCAUCCGCCCCCGGGCCCGCGCCCGCCGAAGCCACCUGUGAACGCUGUCUGAAGUUGCAGUCUGAGAAAAUUAUUAAAUUAAUUAAAACUUUUAGCAACGGAUCUCUAGAUCGGA
RNAcentral lists this unclassified non-coding RNA (240 nucleotides) under soil metagenome. RNAcentral's name for it is "partial contains 5.8S ribosomal RNA, internal transcribed spacer 2, and large subunit ribosomal RNA". The record is from RNAcentral.